RNAcentral lists this ribosomal RNA (476 nucleotides) under uncultured bacterium. RNAcentral describes it as "partial 16S ribosomal RNA". It matches the Rfam family "Bacterial small subunit ribosomal RNA", at positions 28 to 523 of the family's 1533-position model. The record is from RNAcentral.
AAUGAACGUUGGCGGCGUGGAUUAGGCAUGCAAGUCGAGCGGGUGUAGCAAUACACCAGCGGCGAAAGGGAGAGUAAUACGUGGAUACCUACCCUCGGGCCUGGGAUAGCUUCGGGAAACUGAAGGUAAUACCAGAUAACGUCCCCGGACCAAAGGUGUGAUUCCGUCCGAGGAGGGGUCCGCGGCCUAUUAGCUAGUUGGUGAGGUAACGGCCCACCAAGGCGAAGAUGGGUACGAGGCGUGAGAGCGUGUCCUCGCUCACUGGGACUGAGACACUGCCCAGACAUCUACGGGUGGCUGCAGUCGAGAAUCUUCGGCAAUGGGCGCAAGCCUGACCGAGCGACGCCGCGUGCGGGAUGAAGGCCUUCGGGUUGUAAACCGCUGUCAGUAGGGAGGAAUGGUUUGGGGGUUCUCCCCCAGAUUUGACCUAUCUGCAGAGGAAGGGCGGGCUAAGUUCGUGCCAGCAGCCGCUGUAA